AGAGGGUGCAAGCGUUAAUCGGAAUUACUGGGCGUAAAGCGUGUGUAGGUGGUUGGAUAAGUUAGAUGUGAAAUCCCCGGGCUUAACCUGGGCAUUGCGUUUAAGACUGUUCAGCUAGAGUACUGUAGAGGAUAGUGGAAUUUCCAGUGUAGCGGUGAAAUGCGUAGAUAUUGGAAGGAACACCAGUGGCGAAGGCGACUAUCUGGAUAGAUACUGACACUGAGACACGAAAGCGUGGGGAGCAAACAGGAUUAGAUACCCUGGUAGUCCAUGCUGUAAACUAUGAGAACUUGCUGUUGGAUGCAUAAAGGCAUUUAGUAGCGAAGCUAACGCGAUAAGUUCUCCGCCUGGGGAGUACGGCCGCAAGGCUA
Molecule: ribosomal RNA, 371 nt
Filed under: uncultured bacterium
Lineage: Bacteria
Description: bacterial SSU rRNA
Rfam family: Bacterial small subunit ribosomal RNA
Source: RNAcentral